CCGGCGGGCAGAAAGCAUCGGCUCGGAGCGGCCGGGAGGAGGUAGCGGUGCCAGGGCAGCGAGCAGGAGGCAGUGAUGGUCGGGAGAGAGUAAAAUGACAAGAAAGAAAAAGAGCUCAGUGUUCUCAGAAAAACUGAGUAUCAGCAAUCAACACUCAUGUGUCCAAAUAACAAAAUAACACUGUAAUUCUAGAUCGUGUUAACAUUAUCUAUUUACUUAUUGACAUCAACAGCAAAGCUUUGAUUAUGUUUCAUAUCAACAUGGCCUUGAAAUAUAACACAUAUUACCAGUAUUAUAAUGCAUUUGAAAUUAAGACUUUAUACUUUCUCAAAUUUCUUUAUAGAACUCUCUUAUUUCUCAGCUGAUCUUUUCAGCCUCUUUACAUUCUGAGGCAAAAUGGAAAUAACAUUGCAAGUAUAUUCUACUAAGAUUUAGCAGAAAAACAUUUUUUAAAGUAGAAAGGAAAAAAAAAACAUAACCAGAAAAUGGUUAACAUGAAAUAAUCUGAGGUGAUUUUUACUCUUACAUCAUAAAUUUCUGUUUCAUAGAAAUGGUUUUUUGCUAUGUUUAAUGGGUCUUAAGCCCUUGAGUCACAGGAUCUAAAACAGAUAUUCAGAAUUGUUUUUAUCAACUACUACUGCACUAUGUACUUAAACACUAAGUAACUGCUUAAGUAGUUGGAAAUUUCCUGAACCAACAGAAAUAUUUAUACAAGAAACAGACAUCACCACACUCAUCACUGUUUGUUUUCAUACACAAACACAACUUCGGCUCUGCAUUUCUGUAACAAACUCCGUUUAGCUUUGCAGACUGUUGGCAAUGACAGCAAAUCUCUGUUUCAGCUUCUCCCUUUUCUGCUUUAAGUGAUUUUCUAUGGCUCUGGCUUCUUUUAAGAUCUCAUCAAGUUCCUGGACAUAAGAAGAAUCCAACGCUAUUCUUGCACUAAAGUGAAGAAAUCCGUAGUUAAAAUCAAUGCUAAUGCCAUUAAGUAUCUCACUACUUUUAUGUUUUUCUUAAAAACGGGUUGUCUAUCAAUACCCAGUUUCUGACCAAAUUAAUCCUCUGUUGUAAUAAAAACUCUGUUGUAAUAAAACCAUUUUUCUUUCAA
Non-coding RNA from Taeniopygia guttata (zebra finch), 1108 nucleotides. The record is from RefSeq and is a predicted model, not a curated record. Lineage: Eukaryota; Metazoa; Chordata; Aves; Passeriformes; Estrildidae.